This 107-nucleotide microRNA precursor is filed under the name Canis lupus familiaris (dog). Its description in RNAcentral is "mir-8834 microRNA precursor family". It matches the Rfam family "mir-8834 microRNA precursor family". RNAcentral also lists the same sequence under 1 other name. Lineage: Eukaryota; Metazoa; Chordata; Mammalia; Carnivora; Canidae. The record is from Rfam by way of RNAcentral.
UGGAGGAACAACCCCAGUGGCGGGGCCAGCUCUGGAGCCCUGGAGUCAUCUCCCACAGUAACUAUUAGGAGCUCUCGGUCUGCAGGGCCUGGAGGCUCCGGGGCGGG